Molecule: long non-coding RNA, 2787 nt
Filed under: Olea europaea subsp. europaea
Lineage: Eukaryota; Viridiplantae; Streptophyta; Magnoliopsida; Lamiales; Oleaceae
Source: RNAcentral
GAAAAACAUGAAAAAAUAAAGAAGAAAAAUAAGACCGAGAGAGAGAGAGAGAGAGAGGGAGAGAGGAUGAUGCAACUACACUGUAAAAUUUCUAGCAGAUCAAUCCAUAAAGAAACAUCUAAUACUAUAGAAGUUGGCAGAUUUUUCAAAAUUCUUAACACCUCUGAAGAGUUGAAGUAAUCAAUCACCUCACAUUACAUAAAUGUUAUAUGUAGAGUCCUUGAAUUAUCUAAGAUACCCAUGCUCUACAGAUGGAAAGUUGUCAUAGAUGAACGGUGCACAAUAUUUAUAUUGUCAAAGAGUAAAUAAAGAAAUAUCAAAGAGAUCAAAGUCUUCACGAUCAUCAUUAUAGUGAUAGAACUCACCAGGUUUAGAUCAUCGUCUUCAUUCCAUAUUCCUCGAAAUAUGAAUUAAAGUAGCCACUGCUUUAAACCACUCAAAAAAGAAGUAUCGUGAUUAUUUUCUACAUGUUGUGAACCAUUCCCAACAUGAUUUGUAGACAACUGAUGCAAUUUACUUUCGUCAGGGGAAGUGCAGUUGGACUUGCUAUUAAACAAACUCGAAGCAAGAGAGCACAGCGACGGAACUAACAAAACAUCUAUUUAAAGAAAGAGAUCAAAGGUUUUUGAGUAGAGAUCACAGUUUCAUUCUUCCUUGUGAUGCUUUUUAAACCUCACCCACAGGACCUACAACCCACUCACUUCAAGGAGCAGUCUUCUAAAAGUAGUGAUAUGUUAGAACACAGGAAGUGGGAGCUUCAGUAAAUCAAAUGAAUCACCAGCUAUAUGUUAUUUGAAUCAGACAUUUGAAAACAUAUUCAUACAGCCAAUGAUUCUGAUUGUUGAUUUCGAAAUCCUGAAUCUGCUAUUCGAGUUUUAAUCUUGUAGAAUACUUAACAGAAUCUUGUACAAAAAAAAAACAUUCACUGAAAGAUGAUAUAUUUUUCAGCCAACCCAACUAGAACCACUGUGGUCAAGAAUUUUUUUUCUAAAAGUCUCUGAGGUGAUAAUAUCAGAUCGAGCCAAAAUGGUAAAUAUGAGCAAAAACAGUGUCUUUUUCUCUGUUUGAAGUGUUCUGCAUGCAGUUGAGUAGGAAUAACAGAUCACCCGAUAAAUAUUAAGAAUAGUUCCAUCACUUGCCUGCGCACUAGAGUUGAGGAACAGUUCAUCAUCUUCAUGGAAAAAUUUCUCAAUUGCACGCACAUCAACAAAGUUGCCAGAGUCCCUAAUCUGGAGAUUGUGUAUUCUUUAAUAACGCAGAGAGACUAUGGCCAAUAAAUCUUCAUACAAGAAGACACCCAUGCUAUGUGCUAAAUUAACAUAAUCGUUGCAAAAAACCCUCUAAUCAAGUAUUACUCCAUCUUCCAGUCUAGGUAAUUAAGAUCAAACCAUAACAAUGACAAACUAGGUUAGUAUUAGUGCUGUGAAACUCUAAAGUCAAAAUAGACAAUACACACCUCAAGAGGUGAAAGGUUAUCUUUUCAAUGGAUGGGACUCCUCGAAUUGCACCUCCAACAGCAGGUGCAUCAUGAAUUUGAACAGUUGAAGUUGCAAUUAUUCCAAAUUGUUUGCCUUCUAUGUAAAGGAAGAAAUCUUGGCAUAUAAGUUCACCACUGGAAGCAAGAGUAGCACUAUAUAGUUGGGUGAAGAAACUCUCAAAUCUGUUGGCAUCAUUUGGAAGGUCAUGAGCAUAACAAUCUUCUACUUCGCACGAAAAUGACAACCAAGUUGGUCUAUAAACAAUGAGAUCCUGAUGGUUCCUGCUGAAAGUUAUGAGAUACAGUCCGUCGUCUGUGAACUUACGAAAGGAAAGAUCGGGGCAUUCAAUGUCAUAUAUGGUAUGACUUGGGACUAUUUUCUCGUAAAAUCGCCUGGCACAAUGAACCUGGGAGAAUCAACAAAUGAUUUGGUGCUCAUUACAAAACGUACUCAAAAUUGACAGACUUACUGCAGAAACCUCAAAUAAAGAAUGCAUCUACGAAUGAAGCUGGAAAAAGAAAGCCAGAGUUUUACGAAGAGCAUGACAGCGCCCAACACAAGCUGUCAGGAUUCAUAAUCCGUAAAAACAAAAUAUGAUUAAUCUCAAACUUUAUCAUCUCACCCGAUCUUGAGUAUAAUAUCUCAAACUAAAUUGUGGGCUCAAAAAUUGAAACCUCGAUUUCUCAUAAAAUAGCUGAAUGAUUUUUUGCUCGUCUAUCAUACCUCAAGCUAAGCUACUCAUUGAAUAUCUGAAAACUGACAAAAAAAUAAAAAAUAAAUAAAAAUGAAUUCUGCUUUAAUCAUUUCCUCUAUGUUUGGGAGUAAGAAAUAGGGAAGUACUUAAAAAAACUUUCUGAUUCUAAUUUCAGAAGCCAACUCCAUGCUCCCAGAAAGAGCAACAGUAAUCACUGAAAAAGGGGAGAUCUUGAUCAAUCCUCCACCUUAUAUUUCCAUAUAAAUCCUCAAAACAGCAAAAUACAAUCAAAUUGACAGAAAAGAAGAAGAAAUAGACUGGUGCUAGGAGCAGGACUAGAAACUUGACGCUCAAAAAUCCGGGCCGUAACAUUGAUGCUUCUAAACAUUAGUAAUCCUUGUUCUGUUCUGAUUAAUUGAUUCUCUCAAUCUGCUUGCUUCUUCUUCAUACCACGUGGUUGUGGAAAAACAGUAAUGCAUGAUCUUCAGAGGGUUUUUGGGUACUGCAUAGUGGUGGAAGUGGAGGAAUUGAGUGGAUGGAUUGGAUGAAGAAGAAUACAAACAGAGAAUGGAACGGGAGUUUUUGUGUGGGAGCGUGUGUACGCGCACUCAAAAU